Molecule: ribosomal RNA, 475 nt
Filed under: uncultured bacterium
Lineage: Bacteria
Description: bacterial SSU rRNA
Rfam family: Bacterial small subunit ribosomal RNA
Source: RNAcentral
ACUCCUACGGGAGGCAGCAGUGGGGAAUAUUGCACAAUGGGGGAAACCCUGAUGCAGCCAUGCCGCGUGUGUGAAGAAGGCCUUCGGGUUGUAAAGCACUUUCAGUAGGGAGGAAGGUAGUGUAGUUAACACCUGCAUUAUUUGACGUUACCUACAGAAGAAGCACCGGCUAACUCCGUGCCAGCAGCCGCGGUAAUACGGAGGGUGCGAGCGUUAAUCGGAAUUACUGGGCGUAAAGCGCAUGCAGGCGGCCUGUUAAGUCAGAUGUGAAAGCCCGGGGCUUAACCUCGGAAUUGCAUUUGAAACUGGCAGGCUAGAGUCUUGUAGAGGGGGGUAGAAUUUCAGGUGUAGCGGUGAAAUGCGUAGAGAUCUGAAGGAAUACCAGUGGCGAAGGCGGCCCCCUGGACAAAGACUGACGCUCAGAUGCGAAAAGGCUGGGGGAGCAAACAGGAUUAGAUACCCUGGUAGGAUAGCG